CUUAAUAUUUCUAUACAUGUUUUUAUUUACAUGAGCUUAUCAGCAUGUUGAUAGGUUGAUUGAAGAUAGUAGGUGAAGGGGUAACAUAUAUCAGAAAGCAAAAGUAUGUUUGAUUAGCUUUUCUUAUCUUCAUGUACAUUUCUCCUAGUUUCUGCAUGAGCCACUCUCAGUUGUACCAUAUUUUGUCCUUAUGUAAGCAUCACUUUAAUUUAAUAUUUUAACAUGGGCAUCAUUUUUAAAGGGACUGACCCCCCGAUCAUACGACACCAAAAAAAAAGAAGAAAUGUUUUAGAUAUCAGAAAAUUAUUGCUAUAUUUCUUUAGAAGGCUUUGAAACUUAGUUACUGUCAGGUUUAUAAGUUAUGGAAACACAUAAAAAUUAUUUGUUUUUACAAAAUUGAAAAGCAUUCUGCAGCAACCCGAGUUCAAUCCCUACUGGGGCAUUAAGUGUUCUCUUGAUUGGCAUUUUUGAGGUACUAAGUUUAGAAACAAAAACUUGUGUUCUCAUGUUCAUAAUAUGAUCAAAUUAAAGAAAGAUCAUUUUUAGCCAAAUUCUGGAGGUCAGUGCCUUUAAGAAGUCAUCCAAUAAGACUGUUCCAAAAAGUAUAGAAAAAUGAUCUACACAUAUUUAUUGGUAUCUUUGAGAUAAUAUAAAGAGAUGAUAAUUUACACCUAAGAGGAAAAGUAUGUAUACAUGAAGUUUUAGCACUAAGGAUUUGUCUGUAAUGAAAAGCAGGUUCUUCUCCUUUAAAACUUAAAAGUUGCUGGCAGUGGCAUAUGCUAACUAUGCAGUACACUUGCGGAAAAAUGAUAAUAUAAAGAAGAUAUCUCGGAUUGAAAUUUAAGGUCGAAAUUUCUUAUUAACAUUGAUAUUCAAAAUUUAUCGAGAAUAUGAGCUAUGGGUUAGUUUUGCGGCUUUCUUUUGAAAUUAAUUUUCAGGCUCAGAACUUCUGUACUUGGCUGAGGUGAAUGUUUUCUGUGGUGAUUCAGCAUUAGAAAGUUCAUCCAGGAGUUAUUUAUGCUGCACUUGAUUCAUGUUAGGAAGUUGACAUUUGAUUGCCAAAACAAAUUAAUCAGUUCUUAAUAUAUCUAGAAACACUUUUAAUUUACUGGAAAUACAAUUUGAUAUGUUGAAUCCCUAUCAAAGUUUAAGUGUUUACAGCAAUGUAUCGUUGAUUGAUACGGAAAUUGCAUUUUUGAAAUUUCGGACAUAGCGGUCGUGAAUAUAAUUGCAGUUUUUCCUUGGUUCUCAAUGGUACCUUUUUUAGCGAAAAUUUCUUUAUAUGUAUUUGAUAUUCCUGUACUGAAAUCAUAUUUAGUGUAGGAAUCUUAGGUGCUGUUAUAGCAGAUAGGAAAACAGAAACGUUGGGAGUUUGUCAUUUUUCAGAUAAUAAUAUUAUGAUAAGAAUCGCCAUAGUGUUGCCAUAUCAUGAUAUACAGCGCUAUGAAAUUUCUGUAACACCCAUCCCUGUUAUAGGAGUAAUCAUAUCAUAAUAUAUGGUGCUACUGGUGCUACGAAAUUUCUGGUAAUACCAUUAUGAAGCCAUACCUUCAAGGUCAAGGUCACAGGCAAAUGUUCAUAACAGGACUUGACAGUAUAAAACAUCAUGCUCUUUUAUUUCACUAGAUUUUGCCAGUAAUUAUAGCUGAAUGAAAUUAAGUUAAAUGCAGCCUGUUUUUUGCUAAAUGUCUUACUACAAUAUACCUAGAAAACUUAUUUCAGACUGGGAAUGCAUGCCAUUGAAUCCUGACUGGUAUUUUCCCUGUCUCAGGUCGGCUAUAAAUAUCACAACCAUUUUCCUGAUAGCAUUUAGAUAUUCUAGCUGAUAGGUUACCUGGAGGAAUGCUUUAUCUGCAGAAUUUGUGACUACAGUUGCUGUAAACAUCCGUCAAUAUGUGCACUUGUUCCAUUUGUAAGUCAAAAUAAUUUUAGUAAUGGAAAUGUACUUGAUCUGGGAAGAAACAAAAUGGGGCAUCACUUUAGAUGACUACUGUACAGCUUGUACCAAAAAAUAUAAACUGCAAUAAAAUUCAUUUAUUUUUAUGUCUCCUACACCACUGAGUGUUGGGAGACAUAUUGAUUUACUCCUGUCUGUGUGUGUGUCCAUCCGUGUCUGUCACAAAACAUCUUGUUCGCACUCUAAAUCGAACAUUUCUCAUCCAAUCUUCACCAAACUUGAACAAAAUGUGUUUGCCAAUAAGUCCUCGGCCAAGUUCGAUAACUAGCCAAAUCGGCUUCUAAAAGGCACUUCGGAAUUAUGGCCCUUAAAACAUUGUUUUUGAUGAUCAAAGCACUGAAAGUGUGAUUGGGUUGUAUCAAAGCACUGACAGUCUGAUUGGGUUGUAUCAAAGACUGAAAGUCUGAUUGGGUUGUUUUUGAUAAGCAAAGCACUGAAAAUCUGAUUGGGAAUUAAAAAUAUAUAUGCUCGAACAUUUCUCAUCCGAUCUUAUACUACUAUUUAGAUGAUUAGGCAGUUGUGGGAGACAUGCGCUUUUCUCAAAAGCAGCUCUGGUUUUUGAUGAUUUAUGUCUCAAAUGCUGGGGAGACAUUGCUAUAUAUUGGCCAGCUGUCUGAUUGUCAAACCAUCACAAAUUUUGUUUUCAACCUCCAAAGAUUUUCAAGUAACCUGAUACAAAUGCUUGUCAUGAGGUGAUAGUACAGAAUAUAAUUAUCUGACAGCCAAAACACUUCAAGGUAUUAUCAGAAGUCAGAUAGCAGAACUCUAUAAAAUUUCUACUUCCUCUUUUAAACCCUAGAAAGAUUUUCAGUUCAGUAUCAGGGUCAUACAGUGAGUAGCAAUAUCUCAUGUAUGCUGCUCCUUGAAAGAUUUUCAAAUUACUUAGGACAAAAUUCUAGCCAUGUUGAUUCAAGGUUAAAGUGUUACUGUGAUAUGGUAAGUAAGGGUGCUUAUAAUACAGAUCUAUAUUAUUGAAGCUACAACAUUGUGUUUUUGAGGAAGAUUUCAGUUUUUGCAUCUUGUUUGUUUUAUCUUUCAUCAAUUAUAAGAUUUAUGAUGUAGUCAUGUACAUGUGGACUGAAACUGCUUUAAGAAAGUUUUAGAGCAAAGUACAUUGCAACUGUGACUGCUGAUUAACAGUAUGUUAGAGAGAAUUUCUUGGCAUGUUCUGUUUGAUAACUUUCACUGCUGAAUGCUCGGUGUUUACAGUAAUAGUAAGCGUUUGAAUGUUGGUAAAGUUCCUGGUUUCUUACAAACAUUCUUAAAUGUUGAACAAUCAUCUAACAAUGUUGGUAAAAUAUAAUGCAUGUGUGUAGCUGCCUCAUUAACAUCCACUUACUACAAGAGUUUAGAUGAAUGAAUGGAACUGAUAAACUAAUCUACAAUAUUAUUUUACAAAUAUCAAAAAAAAGCUUGGGAAUAUUUAUAAUAAGAUAAAAAUUAAGAUGGAUAAUUAUGUUGUCAGAAAUUGGGAGUGAACAGACUUGAGAAGUUAAAGCAGUGCUGGGAAUUCUAUUAUAUAACUUACAUCAUUGACCUUGUUUAGAAAUUUUGAGAAUCGACCAUGAGUUGGCAAGUGUACGUGACAGACCAGUUGUUGACGCCAGGCGACAUGUGUAGUGCUGGCAUUUAUGGCGUUGAUGGGGGCGAGUGGGCCGGGGAAGGUUGUAUAAGACCGCAACCACAAGAAGUCACAAGACUGAUCAACAUUAUCUCGGGAAAAGAGAGUGACUUUAACGGAAUCAAAAUAGGUGGGAUCAGUUUUCUGUACGUCACUCAUGAUGCGCAGGAAGGUUCAAUUAUCUUGAAUCGAAUCGGAGCUCCAUCUGACAAGGAGAAAUAUGUAUGCUGCGGAUACCUGGCCAAGGGCUGUUUUGUGUAUGGCGCAGUGGUCGGAAACUACAGAAUGGGAAAUUGCAGUAAAGUUUCAUGUCGGCUUAGGGACUACCUAAAGCAAGUUGGAUACUAGCAUAGACAGAAAUCUAGUCAAUAUAAUAUUAGGUGCUAUCCAAUUUUAUUCAUGUGAAAUUCAUUUGGACAAAAAGUUCAUAAUCGCAAGUAAAGGGAAGCAACUGAUACUAGUGUAAUUUAUGUGCUUUACAUGUGUUACAGUCCUUGACCUUUACAAUGAAUGAAAUGGUUGUGUUUUUAGCUCACCUGAGCACGAAGUGCUCAAAGGUGAGCUUUAGUGAUCACCCUGUGUCCGGCGUCCGUCGUCGUCCGUCGUCCGUCCGUCCGUCCGUCCGUCGUCAACAAUUUGACUGUUAACACUCUAGAGGUCACAUUUUUGACCCAAUCUUAAUGCAACUUGGUCAGAAUGUUACCCUCAAUAAAAUCUUGGACGAGUUCGAUAUUGGGUCAUCUGGGAUCAAAAACUAGGUCAUCAGGUCAAAUCAAAGGAAAAGCUUGUUAACACUCUAGAGGUCACAUUUUUGGCCCAAUCUUAAUGAAACUUGGUCAGAAUGUUACCCUCAAUAAAAUCUUGGAUGAGUUCGAUAUUAAGUCAUCUGGGGUCAAAAACUAGGUCAUCAGGUCAAAUCAAAGGAAAAGCUUGUUAACACUCUAGAGGUCACAAUUUUGGCCCAAUCUUAAUGAAACUUGGUCAGGAUGUUACGCUCAAUAAAAUCUUGGACGAGUUCGAUAUUGGGUCAUCUAGGGUCAAAAACUAGGUCACCAGGUCAAAUCAAAGAAAAAGCUUGUUAACACUCUAGAGGUCACAUUUUUGGCCCAAUCUUAAUGAAACUUGGUCAGAAUGUUACCCUUAAUAAAAUCUUGGACGAGUUCGAUAUUUGGUUAUCUGGGAUCAUAAACUAGGUCACCAGGUCAAAUCAAAGGAAAAGCUUGUUAACACUGUUGAAGCCGCAUUUAUGACUGUAUCUUCAUGAAACUUGGUCAGAUUGUUAAUAUUGAUGAUCUUAAGGUCCAGUUUGAAUCUGGGUCAUGUAGGAUAAAAAACUAGGUCACCAAGCCAAAUCAAAUGAAAAGCUAGUUUACACUAGAGGCCACAUUUAUGACCAUACCUUAAUGAAACUUGGUCAAAUCUUGAUGAUCUAUAGCUCAAGUUCAAAUCUGGGUUAGGUGGGGUCAAAAACUAGGUCACUAGGUCAUAUCAAAGGAAAAGCUUGUUAACACUCUAGAGGCCACAUUUAUGACUAUAUCUUCAUGAAACUUAGUCAAAAUGUUAAACUUGAUGAUCUUUAGGGCAAUUUUGAAUCUGGGUCAUGUCGGGUCAAAAACUAGGUCACCGGGUCAAAUCAAAGGAAAAGCUAAUUAACACUGUAGAGGCCACGUUUAUGACCAUAUCUUAAUGAAACUUGGUCAGAAUGUUAAUCUUGAUAAUCUUUAGAUCAAGUUUAAAUCUGGGUCAGAUGGAGUCAAAAACUAGGUCACUAGGUCAUAUCAAAGGAAAAGCUUGUUAACACUCUAGAGGCCACAUUUUUGACUAUAUCUUCAUGAAACUUAGUCAGAAUGUUAAACUUGAUGGUCUUUAGGUCAAGUUCGAAUCUGGGUCAUGUCGGGUCAAAAACUAGGUCACGGGGGUCAAAUAAAAGGAAUAGUUAGUUAUUACUUUAGAGGCCACAUUUAUGACCAUAACUUAAUGAAACUUGGUCAGAAUGUUAAUCUUGAUGAUCUAUAGGUCAAGUUUAAAUCUGGGUCAGGUGUGUUAAAAAACUAGGUCACUAGGUCAGAUCAAAGGAAAAGCUUGUUAAGACUCUAGAGGCCAGAUUUAUGACUGUAUCUUCAUGAAACUUAAUCAGAAUGUUAAUCUUGAUGAUCUUUAGGUCAAGUUCGAAUCUGGGUCAUGUGGGGGCAAAAACUAGGUCACCGGGUCAAAUCAAAGGAAAAGCUAGUUAACACUCUAGUUUGUUUUUAUCUAUAUUAGAUUUUAUACAUUUGCAGAUUUUUUGUGCAGAAGUGACUUAUGCUAGUGAAUUGAUGUGAAAGGAAUUUUAUCAGACAAAACAGAAAGUUUCCAAGCAGAAUAAACAAGCAGGUAUUUAAAUCCUGCAUAAAGUGUUUUUGAUGAUACUGAAUAAAUGUAGCCGAAAUGUUGAAUGUAGUGAAUGACAACCUAUGAUUAUGUUGUAAAUGUCAAAAACUGUAAUCUCUACCAUAAUGUAUAGUGCAGGUUGCUUUGCUUACUAUAACCAGUACAGGCUUUCUAUAUUUCAAAAUUACUAAACCUGUCAUAUCUAUUGUGCCAGGAACGACAUGUAUUUUAAGUGUCAGGGUCAGGCGAAAUGAUUGAAAAUACAAUUUGUUUUAAAAAAAUACAAAACUUACAACUUACGAGGGUUGAAAACUGAAAUUAACUAAGGAAGGACUCUGUAGGAAGGUGAGGAGGAGAAAGAAUGUAAUUACAACUAUUUGUCGUGUGUAGAUAAAGAGUUUGAUAGUAUAGAAGUAAUAUACCAUCUUUUAAGCUUUCUUGGCAGAGGAAUACGGGUUAACUGACUGACGCAAUUACGAAUGAUUUGCCCGAGGGUACAAGUUUUCUGUUUCAUGUGCCAAACCUAUAUUGCUUUAUUAUUGUUUUUAUAGAAAUGUGCCAAAUUUUUUAUACACUGCUUCAGUCUGGAUAUAUAAAUAGCAGAGGUGUCAUGGAAUGCAUACAGAAUGAAGACAACUCUUGAGUUGUUUAUUUUUGGCAUGUCUAGUUCAAGGAAUAGGUAUUUUUUGCUGGACUACAGUUUCAGAAUGGAAAGAAAAAACACCAUGCAAGACAAUGCAGAAUAGGAAAAACUUGAUAAAAAUGAUCCUGAGAUUUUAUUUGAUAUGUGACCAGUUCAUUAUAGAAUUAUUAAUUUUUUUGAAAUAAUGAAAAUUAUGUCUAUCGUAAUACCAUUUGGUACUCUGUUCUCAAAUCUGACUGGAGCACUUUGUUUGUACAUUGUAAUUGUAUUUUUCUGUUGUUUUUUGUGUUUUGUUUGUUUGUUUUUUUUUCUCAGAAGUGUGCCAAAUUAUGUUUACUUGUAAUGACUAUUGUCUAACAGAAAUGUGCCAAAUACCGACCUAGAAUGGUAAAAUAAAAAAACUGUUGUAGUUUGUAGUGUUCAUAUGAUAAAUUCACUAGUUAUGCUUUCAUUGGUUCAAAUACAUUGUGAACUUUGUCAUUUUAAUGUCAUAGAAAUGCAAUAAAAUAUACAAAAAUGAUAAAAAAAA
Long non-coding RNA from Mercenaria mercenaria, 7120 nucleotides. RefSeq lists it as uncharacterized. NCBI's taxonomy places the organism in Eukaryota, Metazoa, Mollusca, Bivalvia, Venerida, Veneridae. The record is from RefSeq and is a predicted model, not a curated record. The transcript has 2 exons.